RNAcentral lists this long non-coding RNA (393 nucleotides) under Taeniopygia guttata (zebra finch). RNAcentral's name for it is "lncRNA (ENSTGUG00000021556.1)". The record is from RNAcentral. Lineage: Eukaryota; Metazoa; Chordata; Aves; Passeriformes; Estrildidae.
UGAAUUCUGGGUGGUUCAUCCUCCUCCCUGCCCUUCUAAACAGAGAAUCAGAGAGAAAAUCCCCGACGGACUUCCCCGUCCCUCUUGUGUCGCUCCUGGCACCUAGUAAGGGAACAAGGAUGUACUCGGGAUCCUGUCGCCGAGAGAAAAAGUAAAGGGCACUGUCGCUCGGCACCAGGUUUUCAGGGGUCGUAACUACGAGGCAGAAACCCGAGUCGGGUCCACAGGAAGGGAGGAAGGGACUCGGGUCACUCCGCCGAGGCUUUCCCACGGUCGCUCCACCGUCUCCUUAACACCGGGAAACAGAAACACCCGUGGCGAGCUCUGGCAGUUUUGUUGAGAGAUGGAGUCCUAGAGUCCAGUAUGCUUUUCUUCUCUACAUUCCUAUUCAGU